RNAcentral lists this ribosomal RNA (253 nucleotides) under uncultured bacterium. RNAcentral describes it as "partial 16S ribosomal RNA". It matches the Rfam family "Bacterial small subunit ribosomal RNA", at positions 524 to 776 of the family's 1533-position model. The record is from RNAcentral.
UACGUAGGUGGCAAGCGUUGUCCGGAUUUACUGGGCGUAAAGCGCGCGCAGGCGGGCCGGUCAGUCUGGGGUGAAAGCUCACGGCUCAACUGUGAGAGGUCCCCGGAUACUGCCGGUCUUGAGGUACCUAGAGGAGAGCGGAAUUCCCGGUGUAGUGGUGGAAUGCGUAGAUAUCGGGAGGAACACCAGUGGCGAAAGCGGCUCUCUGGGGGCGACCUGACGCCGGGGCGCGGAAGCGUGGGGAGCGAACCGG